AACGAACGCUGGCGGCAUGCCUAACACAUGCAAGUCGAACGAGACCUUCGGGUCUAGUGGCGCACGGGUGCGUAACACGUGGGAAUCUGCCCUUUGCUUCGGAAUAACAGUUAGAAAUGACUGCUAAUACCGGAUGAUGUCGAAAGACCAAAGAUUUAUCGGCAAAGGAUGAGCCCGCGUAGGAUUAGGUAGUUGGUGGGGUAAAGGCCUACCAAGCCGACGAUCCUUAGCUGGUCUGAGAGGAUGAUCAGCCACACUGGGACUGAGACACGGCCCAGACUCCUACGGGAGGCAGCAGUGGGGAAUAUUGGACAAUGGGCGAAAGCCUGAUUCAGCAAUGCCGCGUGAGUGAUGAAGGCCUUAGGGUUGUAAAGCUCUUUUACCAGGGAUGAUAAUGACAGUACCUGGAGAAUAAGCUCCGGCUAACUCCGUG
Molecule: ribosomal RNA, 433 nt
Filed under: uncultured bacterium
Lineage: Bacteria
Description: partial 16S ribosomal RNA
Rfam family: Bacterial small subunit ribosomal RNA
Source: RNAcentral